This 482-nucleotide ribosomal RNA is filed under the name uncultured bacterium. RNAcentral's name for it is "partial 16S ribosomal RNA". It matches the Rfam family "Bacterial small subunit ribosomal RNA", at positions 30 to 507 of the family's 1533-position model. The record is from RNAcentral.
AUUGAACGCUGGCGGCAUGAUUUACACAUGCCAGUCGAACGGUAACAGGCCGCAAGGUGCUGACGAGUGGCGCACGGGUGAGUAAUGCAUCGGAACGUGCCCAGUCGUGGGGGAUAACUACUCGAAAGAGUAGCUAAUACCGCAUACGAUCUAUGGAUGAAAGCGGGGGACCGUAAGGCCUCGCGCGAUUGGAGCGGCCGAUGUCAGAUUAGGUAGUUGGUGGGGUAAAGGCUCACCAAGCCAACGAUCUGUAGCUGGUCUGAGAGGACGACCAGCCACACUGGGACUGAGACACGGCCCAGACUCCUACGGGAGGCAGCAGUGGGGAAUUUUGGACAAUGGGCGCAAGCCUGAUCCAGCAAUGCCGCGUGCAGGAAGAAGGCCUUCGGGUUGUAAACUGCUUUUGUACGGAACGAAACGGCUCUGGUUAAUACCCGGGGCUAAUGACGGUACCGUAAGAAUAAGCACCGGCUAACUACGUG